AAAGCGAGUAGAAGCGUUCAGCCAUUCUUUACCGAUGGCGGGUCAUUGCUCAUGGG
This 56-nucleotide non-coding RNA is filed under the name Cronobacter sp. RNAcentral's name for it is "Xanthine-I sequence". It matches the Rfam family "Xanthine riboswitch aptamer (NMT1 RNA)". From Rfam's summary of the family: Later it was reported as a ncRNA that recognised Xanthine. The record is from RNAcentral. Lineage: Bacteria; Pseudomonadati; Pseudomonadota; Gammaproteobacteria; Enterobacterales; Enterobacteriaceae.